AUACGGAGGGUGCAAGCGUUGUUCGGAUUUACUGGGCGUAAAGGGCGUGUAGGCGGAAGUGCAAGCUGUGGGUGAAAGUCCCGGGCUUAACCCGGGAAGGUCUUGCAGAACUGCACAUCUAGAGAGGGCAAGAGGCAGGUGGAAUUCCAGGUGUAGAGGUGAAAUUCGUAGAGAUCUGGAGGAACACCGGCGGCGAAGGCGGCCUGCUGGGGCCACUCUGACGCUGAGGCGCGAAAGCGUGGGGAGCAAACAGGAUUAGAAACCCCAGUAGUCC
Molecule: ribosomal RNA, 274 nt
Filed under: uncultured bacterium
Lineage: Bacteria
Description: partial 16S ribosomal RNA
Rfam family: Bacterial small subunit ribosomal RNA
Source: RNAcentral